AAUGAAUUAACGAGCAAAAAACUUAACAAAACGAAUUUUAGCUAAGUAACCCGAAACCAGACGAGCUACUUAUAGACAGUUUAUUAGAACCAACUCAUCUAUGUG
RNAcentral lists this ribosomal RNA (105 nucleotides) under Ovis ammon (argali). Its description in RNAcentral is "partial large subunit ribosomal RNA". Lineage: Eukaryota; Metazoa; Chordata; Mammalia; Artiodactyla; Bovidae. The record is from RNAcentral.